GACGAACGCUGGCGGCGUGCUUAACACAUGCAAGUCGAACGAUGAACCGGGUUCGGCCGGCGAUUAGUGGCGUACGGGGGAGUAACACGUCGUUAAUCUGCGCUUCACUCUGGGAUAAGCCCGGGAAACUGGGUCUAAUACCGGAUACGACACUCCUAUGCAUCUUGGGGCGUGGAAAGUUCCGGCGGUGCAGGGUGAGCCCGCGGCCUAUCAGCUUGUUGGUGGGGUAAUGGCCUACCAAGGCGACGACGGGUAGCCGGCCUGAGAGGGUGACCGGCCACACUGGGACUGAGACACGGCCCAGCCUCCUACGGGAGGCAGCGGUGCGGAAUAUUGCACAAGGGGAGGAAGCCUGAUGCAGCGAAGCCGCGUGGGGGAUGCCGGCCUUCGGGUUGUAAACCUCUUUCAGCAGGGAAGAGGCGAAAGUGACGGUACCAGCAGAAGAAGCCCCGGCUAACUACGUG
Molecule: ribosomal RNA, 464 nt
Filed under: uncultured bacterium
Lineage: Bacteria
Description: partial 16S ribosomal RNA
Rfam family: Bacterial small subunit ribosomal RNA
Source: RNAcentral